Non-coding RNA from Rattus norvegicus (Norway rat), 69 nucleotides. Lineage: Eukaryota; Metazoa; Chordata; Mammalia; Rodentia; Muridae. The record is from Rfam.
GGGGGUUUAGCUCAGUGGUAGAGCGCUUGCCUAGCAAACGCAAGGCCCUGGGUUCGGUCCCCAGCUCCG